UAUAUAUAUAUAUAUAUAUAUAUAUAUAUAUAUAUAUAUAUAUAUAUAUUUAUGAACAACCUUACCACCAUACUACUUUAAACUUUCUAAAAAGUCACCACUCUAGAGUGACACUGGCUGUAAGCAAAGUUACAAAAGCAACGUCGAAGAAGUACAUUGCUGGCUCUGAUUCCCCUAAAGCCCUGAGGCAUGAUGGGAAGUAGGACAACUUAAAUUGGAGCCAGGAAACCCAGCGAGCCAUAAGCCCACAUGGGUCUGAAAUCCUGCCGCAGUAGAUACCAUCUAACUGUACGUCCCAGUCCCUGACGUGUCAUCUCAAGUAGGAAAAAGGGGUGAAAAGGUUGUGUGUUAAAUAUCCAAACUCGACGUCAAGCCAAUUUUAUUUAUAAAUCCCCCAAUAUCACAUGUAUAACUGUUUUUGAAUCAGACAGAUUUGACAGUUUGCAUAGUUUAGUUUUGCAUGCUGCCAAGGGGAGCGUGGGAGCUGAGUGGAGCACAGGGUCCUGGCAGAACAUGAAUGGGGGAGGCUGAAGAGUGAUGGAGGGGAUGACAGGAUGGGGACAGGGAUGACAUACACCGCACAGCAGGUACUGCCUCUGCAGUCGGUGUGUGCCUGAGCAUGGGUGCACAUUAAAGGCGUUUCUUGUCAUGUUGGUGGUUCUAUGUCUUUUUCUGUUUUCUUGUACAUGUCAGGAAAGUUGUGUCACAGUUUGUCAUCUCACAUCACACCGCGCCUGUUAACAGAGUCGACUGAUUGGUUCUUUGUGUCAUAGCAAGAGAUUUGUUUGGGUAGUUCACUGAUCAGACUAACUAAACUAUUUACACAUUGUUCCGUAAAAAAGUGCUCUUUGCACUAAAAUAUUUACAUGGGAAGACCAUCUAUAGGGAAACAAUGUCAGUCAAGUCCACAUGAAAUAAAAGUGGGAAAAAGACA
Molecule: long non-coding RNA, 934 nt
Organism: Sander lucioperca (pikeperch)
Lineage: Eukaryota; Metazoa; Chordata; Actinopteri; Perciformes; Percidae
Exons: 2
Source: RefSeq, a predicted model, not a curated record